GGAGUCACGUGAGGGAAGAUGGCGGCUUCUGCUCGUGUGAGAGGGCGCGCGAAGGAGUCUGGGGUGGCGCAGAGGAUGCUGGGAUUGCUUGUCUGAAGGAGGGACUUGACUUGCAGCAGGGCCUUGCUGUGUGCAGCGCCGAGCACCUGCGGGGCCAGCGAGCCUAGGCCUGGGGCAGGUGCCAGGCUGCGACCACCACCCACGCUCUCUUUAUUGCAAAGAGCAAUUCUUCCAACUCUAAUAUAUUGGAAGAAUAAAUAAUAAAAUAAUCAUUUAUUUAUUUUAAUAAUGCAAUAUGUAUGUUCAUUUUAAUAAUAAUAUAUUCAUUUAUUUAUUAAGCCAUUUAUUUUAAUAAUACAAUAUUUGUUUACUUUAAUAAAUCAUUUAUUUCCUUUAAUUAUACAAUAUUUUUACUUUAAUAAUACAAUAUUCAUUUAUUAAUCAUUAAUAGUACAAUAUUUACUUUAAUAAUGAAUUAUUAACUUUAAUAAUACCAUAUUUAUUUAUUGGCAUCACCUUUUGUUUUUUUUAAUGAUGCAAUAUUUAUUGUAAUCACAAUUUAUUUGUUUGUUUCUUUUAAUAAUAAUGAUAUAUUUUUUAAUAUAAAAUAAUAACCUUGCCUGCCCGCAUCCCUCGACCGACACGGCUACAAGCGACGCCCCCGACCCGCGAACAAUGCACACGUGGUCUCCUGUGUUGCUUGAGGGAAAGGCAGACGUGCGAUCUUCUUUUAGACCAACUAAAUCUCUGGGGAUAAUUGUUCUUCGCAAGCUUUUGGGCACAAGCGCCCCUCUUCAGGCACGGGGAGAGUCUGCUGGUGUUUUGUGUUCUCCUGGACCCUUCCAAAAAGGAGAGACGCUGCUGCGCAAGGGCAGCUGAAUCGAGCCCGAGUGCUGUUCGUCCUGCCUAGAUAGAGACCCUGCGCUAGACAAGUGAGAGACGGGACCAGGCAAAUUAAUUCCUCUAGCGGACAAGUUGAAUGCCUUGCCAAGAAGUGUGGCAUACUCCCAUCAGGAAUCCAUUCCAGCGUGCAGGGCAGUGCAGCACCUUGCGGAUACGGUUGCACAGGUGUACUCAGCCGGGGAAGAUGUGGUGGAUGAUUGCAGGCCUGUUCAGAUGAUGGUAUCACAGGAAUGUACCUCCAUCCUUAUCCUUGCAGAUUUCCUUGCCCUCCUGCUGAGAUCCUAGGGAGGGGAGACAUGAAAGUGCUAAACACUAUUCAAGAGGAGGACAGGGCAGAGCGGGGUCUGUCCUGUUUGCCAGACAGGAUGAAACCUGUGCACUCUUCACAGUCUAUUUUCAUUAAAUAAUAUUCAACCCCUUGUUAUAUGUUGGAUAUUGAAUGCCAUGCUUACAUUUUCACAACAACCACCCUAAACACACCAAGAAAGCUGUAAUAUACAGCCAAGCCCUCUGAUACCACCGAUGCACUAAGAAGAAUACCCGCAAUCGUCACCUUGCCAGUCUCAAAAGGGCUUUCACCCAACAGGGACGCUACUCCAGAGAGAUGGAUCAUACUUUUGAAAAAGCCACCCGGAUACCACGUGAAGGAUUGCUGCAGCAUAAAAAAGAAAAUCCCCAUGAAUAACACACGCCGUUGGUUAUGCCAUACCAUCCUUCCUUGGAACCUAUAUGGAAAAUCCUUAAACAAGUGCAACUAGAAGAAGACCCAAGUCUCAAACAGAUGUUUCCAAAACCACCCAUCCUUGCCUUUAAACAAGCAUGGAACCUUGCCAACCUCAUAACCAGAAGCAAAUUUCUUAUGACCCAAAACACACCAAAUGGCUCCAGACUAUGCCAGGACAAGAAAUGUAAAACCUGCCAACACAUCACCACUCCCACAAUAACUACAUCUCACAACAGACCCAUCACCAUUCCUGGAUCUUACUCCUGCACCUCCAGAAAUGUAAUAUAUCUCAUCCAGUGCACUAAAUGCCGUAAUAGAAAAUAUGUAGGAGAAACCAAACAGCAACUGAGUACCAGAAAGAAAGCACACUGAAAAUCUAUCAAAGACAAGAUUACCCGUAGGUGCACAUUUUUCACAAGACAACCACUCUCUCUCCAGUCACUCAGUUCUGAUCCUCAAAGGGAAUUUACAAAACACCUUUCAUAGACAAACCUGCGAACUUCACUUCAUAAAUCUACUGGAUACAAAAAAUCAUGGGCUAAAGAUAGACAUUGGCUUUAUGGCACCUGCUUGCCAUCUGAUAACCCCAGAUAACCCGUCUGCAUUUUACCAGCUACAUUCUAUCGCCAGCUCUACAUUCCUUGUUCUCCCCCCUGUCUCUCAUGUAUUUUCUCCCAUUCCCUCAUAUCCUCACUGCCACGCAUUUGCAUUUUGCAUAUUGGCUUCUAUUCUACCCAAGAGAGCACACAAACACCAACAGACUCUCCCUGUGCCUGAAGAAGGGUGUUUGUGCCCCAAAGCUUGCAGAUAACAAUUUUUCCAACUAUGUAGUUGGUUUAAUAAAAGAUAUCACAUCCACCCAAAGAACCUUGUCUACGUUUUCACAAUGCUUUCUUCUCUUGCAACAGUCUUUCUUCUUUCUCUUUUUUGCUCUGUGCAGUUUUUUUCUUCAUACACUAGAUCUAACACAGAUAUGUAUUUAAAUGACUCAUUCCAGAGAGAGAACGCUGUGACCCUAUGAUCCUGGUUUCGCAACACUUUCUCUUCCUAACUUUGGAGGUAGAAUUGGCACUGGUCACAAAGUGAUUUUGCAGACUUUAAGUAGCCGUACUUAACUCAGAGCUUAGAUAGCACCCCUCUGCAGCAUUCUCUGAGCAUCUUGCAUACAUUACAUAAACACCCUCAACAUGGGGAGUUGUUACGAUAUCCAAAUUUUAGGGGUGCCGAAUGGAGGCACAGAGACCUGUCUACUCCAACAAGCUUUGUGGUUAUAAUCUCUGCCAGUUAAGCCAAUAAUAUCAGCAGAGAUGGUAUUAUUGUGGAUGGGGCUCAGGUGCUUGGUGUAGAUGAUAGGAGAUGUUACGAAUGUGAAUGAACUCCUUACAGACUUAAUAGCCAAUGCCUUUGAUGCCUUGCCUAGAGUCAAAUGACAGUGAAGGUUCAGGAGAUGAGUGGAAGGGAGUAAUCGCUUUAUGCUUUGUAAACAUCUACUUACCUCCACUGACUAACAUUUCAAAUAAACUGUUAACAAAAACUUGCUUUAUCACCUCUGCUUACUUACAAUCUGGGAUCUGUAGUUCCCACAAAGCCUCUUACAAAGCCAAGGGAGAGCAAGGUUGGCAUUCUCUGGGUACCUGAGAUACGGGAGGCAGAACCCCCUUCCAAACUAUACUUACACAGGAAACCCUCGCUAGUCGCGGGUUCGGCAUUCACGGUUUCAAAUAUUUGCGAAUGCCAAAUCCGCAUCUUAAAUACGCUUACAGGAGCUCCUUGGGAGCUCUGCGCUUGCUGCCACUGGACUCCCGCCUUGCCAGUGCAGCUGUGCCCACCCCCCAGUCACCGGGGGCACUGUGUUCAUGACGUUCAUGAACACAGUGCUGUAUUCACAGAUUUCGCCAUUCGCAGGGAUCUCAAGAACGUAUCCCCCGCGAAUGGCAAGGGUCGCCUGUAUCUCAAAAAAGGAAAAACCCAGUUAAAAACAAGCUCUCUGCAGGUCACCUUGAAGAAAUGAUGGGCCUGGUUUUCUCCUGCUAUGCACCUUAUGCAGUUGUUUGCGGCUAUGCAGAGUGAGGUAAAGGUGGGUGUAAAAUGCUGUCGAUUCUGAGUUCGUAACACACUGUACUACUGGUGGUAGCACUGUGUGAGCACCACCCAGCCUGAGCCUGCACUGGGAACUGAGCCGCUGGAUCCCUGUUGGCUUCAGUGGAGAUCUGCUUGCACAGGGGAGUAUCUCCCUGGGUCUGAGAGCAGGAUCAGGUCCUCAGUGACAGCAUGAAGUACAAAGCCGUGGAACAUUGGGCCUCCUGGCACUAGAAGGGGACACUGUUCCAAGAGCCCCCUGCUGCUAGAUAAAUGCUUAUUUUGAUGCAGGAAGCAUUGAUCUUGUGACAGGAUCCCAUUCCAAUUACUGCUUUGAUGACUGCAAAUAACAUAAUGAUUCCAAAUACUAAUUUACUUUGGUUGUUGGCUUUGCAUGGAUUUGGGUGGUGCAGAGUGACAGCUGCUUGCUCUGACCUUAUUGACUGACAACAUUUCAAAUGACUUGGGGAACACGCCUGACAAACCCCAAAGCUUUUGCAGAGCUCUGUGGAUGCCAGUGAAUCUCUACACACGUGUGUCCAUCCAUGUGCAGCGACAUGCAGAGUUGGGGCCUUGGACUUGCAUGCCAGUUCUGUUGCUCUCCCAUGCUACAUUUCACAUCCCAUUCAAGCCACAUUGAUUUUAAAUGGAUACUUUUUGCUUGUUUCCUUUCUUUCACUAAGCCGUUCCCAGCAACCUACCUGACACAGGCUUUUGAUCACAACUUGCUGUUUCCUCCUGCCACCCUUUUGGUAUCCUUUUGAUGUCUUAUUUUUAAAUUGUGCGUGCUUUGGAAGAGGCUGUUGCUCUCUGCGAUACGGAUUUUUUUAUGCCUCCCUGAUGACUGUAAUGUCUGAAUUCUGCCCAAGCGUUCAUGAAGUGACAUGCCAUGUCACAUGUGGCUCAUUCCCCUUCCUGCCUCUCCCAGGCGUGAAUUAGGCAUGCACAGUCAUGUCGGAUGUUUUGUUUCGUGGUGGUUUUCCGUCUUUAAAUAUCCACAUAGUUCUGUGUGUGUUAAAGAAACUGAGUUGGAGAAGUGUCUGGCACUUGGAGCAGGAAGGGAUGAAAGUUGCAAAGGUCUCUUAGCUUGCGGGGGGAAUGAUAGUCUUGGAUCAUCUCCCAGGAAAGCACAGAUGAGCUUUGCCCACAUCAUACAGACUUCCAUUGGGCCUCAGGAGGAGAGACUUCAACUGUGGUCUUCAUCUGGGAGCUUUAGCCUCUAGCAGAUAUGCAGAACACAGUGCUCUGAAGAUAAGGACCAGCCCUUGGAUCUUGGCUUGCUGUUCUUGGAGAAGCCAGCGUAGAGUGUGGAGGGAUGGGAAUUGCUAAAGAUUUAUGCUACAGCAAUCUCUGUUAGCUGGAGUUUCCUAGGCUGAUUGCUGUGUGCCCAGCUACGCAUGUUAUGUGUUUCUUUGUUCCUUGAUUGUACAGCCCCAGAUACAGUUGAGUCCAAGUCUGUGACUGGGGUGUCUAUGCAGUAUAAAUAAAUAAUCUCAGUUUAGAAAAA
Molecule: long non-coding RNA, 5213 nt
Organism: Alligator mississippiensis (American alligator)
Lineage: Eukaryota; Metazoa; Chordata; Crocodylia; Alligatoridae
Exons: 4
Source: RefSeq, a predicted model, not a curated record